GCUCUGCAACCAGGCCGCUGUUUCGCCUUCUGUUGCAACCGGCUCCCCAAUAAAAAAGGAUGAGAGGCGCGGGCGUGCUGGCGGUGCUGUUGGCGGCGCUGGUGGCGGCGGGGUGCUGCGCGCUGUGCUCUGCGCAGCUGACGUUCACGCCCAGCUGGGGAAAGCGCGCCCCUCCAGAGGCCGCGCCCGCCUACCCCUCCGCCGAGCCCUUCCUCUACCUCUACAAGCUCAUACAGGCGGAAGCACAAAAAAUGGCUGGAUGUAGCAAGUUCCCCAAUUAGUAACACAACAUUCAAUUGGACGACGUGGCACGAGAACUGGUCUUGAUGGUAAAGCUACUUUAUUCUGUACAG
Molecule: long non-coding RNA, 353 nt
Organism: Schistocerca piceifrons (Central American locust)
Lineage: Eukaryota; Metazoa; Arthropoda; Insecta; Orthoptera; Acrididae
Exons: 3
Source: RefSeq, a predicted model, not a curated record